AUUGAACGCUGGCGGCAGGCCUAACACAUGCAAGUCGAGCGGAUGAAGGGAGCUUGCUCCUGGAUUCAGCGGCGGACGGGUGAGUAAUGCCUAGGAAUCUGCCUGGUAGUGGGGGAUAACGUCCGGAAACGGGCGCUAAUACCGCAUCCGUCCUGAGGGAGAAAGUGGGGGAUCUUCGGACCUCACGCUAUCAGAUGAGCCUAGGUCGGAUUAGCUAGUUGGUGGGGUAAAGGCCUACCAAGGCGACGAUCCGUAACUGGUCUGAGAGGAUGAUCAGUCACACUGGAACUGAGACACGGUCCAGACUCCUACGGGAGGCAGCAGUGGGGAAUAUUGGACAAUGGGCGAAAGCCUGAUCCAGCCAUGCCGCGUGUGUGAAGAAGGUCUUCGGAUUGUAAAGCACUUUAAGUUGGGAGGAAGGGCAGUAAGUUAAUACCUUGCUGUUUUGACGUUACCAACAGAAUAAGCACCGGCUAACUUCGUG
RNAcentral lists this ribosomal RNA (484 nucleotides) under uncultured bacterium. RNAcentral describes it as "partial 16S ribosomal RNA". It matches the Rfam family "Bacterial small subunit ribosomal RNA", at positions 30 to 507 of the family's 1533-position model. The record is from RNAcentral.